This 511-nucleotide ribosomal RNA is filed under the name Clostridioides difficile. RNAcentral describes it as "bacterial SSU rRNA". It matches the Rfam family "Bacterial small subunit ribosomal RNA", at positions 930 to 1440 of the family's 1533-position model. Lineage: Bacteria; Bacillati; Bacillota; Clostridia; Peptostreptococcales; Peptostreptococcaceae. The record is from RNAcentral.
UAGCGGAGCAUGUGGUUUAAUUCGAAGCAACGCGAAGAACCUUACCUAAGCUUGACAUCCCAAUGACAUCUCCUUAAUCGGAGAGUUCUCUUCGGGGACAUUGGUGACAGGUGGUGCAUGGUUGUCGUCAGCUCGUGUCGUGAGAUGUUGGGUUAAGUCCCGCAACGAGCGCAACCCUUGUCUUUAGUUGCCAUCAUUAAGUUGGGCACUCUAGAGAGACUGCCAGGGAUAACCUGGAGGAAGGUGGGGAUGACGUCAAAUCAUCAUGCCCCUUAUGCUUAGGGCUACACACGUGCUACAAUGGGUAGUACAGAGGGUUGCCAAGCCGUAAGGUGGAGCUAAUCCCUUAAAGCUACUCUCAGUUCGGAUUGUAGGCUGAAACUCGCCUACAUGAAGCUGGAGUUACUAGUAAUCGCAGAUCAGAAUGCUGCGGUGAAUGCGUUCCCGGGUCUUGUACACACCGCCCGUCACACCACGGGAGUUGGAGACGCCCGAAGCCGAUUAUCUAACC